Spea bombifrons (plains spadefoot toad) is the source of this 201-nucleotide long non-coding RNA. RefSeq lists it as uncharacterized. The record is from RefSeq and is a predicted model, not a curated record. The transcript has 2 exons. NCBI's taxonomy places the organism in Eukaryota, Metazoa, Chordata, Amphibia, Anura, Pelobatidae.
ACUUGGAGGCCAGAAGCCUCUGACUGGAAAUGCAAAAUGGCCGCACAUUCCAGGGCCUGAUCUGGCAAUGGAGCAGCAGUAUGGGUCAUUUUGGAAACAGGCAUUCUGUUAAGUAAUCUCUGUCGGCUGCAAGGUUAUAACGGCCAGCGCUCCUGCCGGUUGCGACGAUCAGGAUAAUGUGAGGGGGAAAGGAAGGGAAAA